This 249-nucleotide long non-coding RNA is filed under the name Mytilus galloprovincialis (Mediterranean mussel). The record is from RNAcentral. Lineage: Eukaryota; Metazoa; Mollusca; Bivalvia; Mytilida; Mytilidae.
GGACAAGAUUUUACACUUAAGUCAAGAAGGUUUACUUUAUUUAGCAGAAAAAGUUAAUCCAUUUUGGCAUGAUAUCCUGGUAAAUUUUUCCAAGUUAAAAAAUAAGCUUCAAGCUGAAAACAAUACUGAAAUUUUGACCCAGUCCAUAUGGCUGAAUCCGAACAUCAAAAUGGAUGGCAAGAUGAUUUUGAGGUUCAAAUAUGUUGAAAAUAGUAUAUUCUUCAUUAAUGAUCUGAUGUCAGAUAAUAA